GCCCCUUCUAUUUUUAUUUAAUUGUCUAAGUAUCGAAAUGAAGAAUGAUCGAAAUAAAUAACAAUUUAUUAUGUUUCACUAUGGAAAUUUGAAUAUAUGACUUCUUUUUGAAAAAUAAUUUAUCCUCCGAAUGAUAUCAUCCAACGCAAUCAAGAUUCGAGAUGCAAUGUCUCAAUCCUCAUAUCAAUUCAACAAUAUUUCAUCGCAAUUCAUGGAUCAAGAUAAGACUAACACAAAAUUUCUACCCUAAAAUCAUUUCGCCCAUGGCCCCUUCCACACCGAGCACAAAAGAAAAAUAUCAAUGCAUUUAAUCAAUCCUUUCAACCUCCAAUUUCAUUUGAUAUUCCCAUAUCCUACACCAAAAUUCUCAAUACCAAAUAUACUCCCAGAUUACAUGAUUCCCAAAACAUAGUUGAGCAUAGAACCCCCCAACAAAACAUCCUGAUUUGAAACCCAAAACAAAAUCUUAUAUACAAAAAUUAAACACACAAACAGAAACAGAAAUUUUUAGAAAUAAAUUUGAGAAAUUAAGAACAAGACAAACCGCAGAUCCUGACAGGGGCUCGGACUUGAAGAAGAAUAGGUUGAGAGAGGAAAAUUUGGCGGGCGUUGACGCAAAGCUGCCGGAUCUCCGCCUCCGAAAGCUGCACUUGUUUCCCCCCUUUGCCUUCCAAAAGCCUCCCUAUUAUAUCAUCCAACACCCCUCUAUCCAUCAUCCCUUCCAUUGUCAUCAUUUUUCCUCAAUUUCCCCAAAUUCUUAAUCAAAACUAGAGAUGGGUUUCCAAGAAAUUAUUCGUUUAUGCGUUUAUAUCGCGGAUAAAUGAUUGAGUUUCGAUUGAAUGGCUCUUUAGAUACGCAAAAUUGAUUAUAAAGAUGCUAAGAAGAAAAGGCUUUUAUUUUUUCUUUAUCUUAUGUACCAAGACAAGAUUUGUUUUGGGUCAUUCGGCAAUGUUGUCAUUGUCCCAUGAUGCGUGCUCUCCUCGCCUCUCUCCCUCUUUCUCUCUCUACACAUAUAUAAUGUAUAUCUUUAAUUCUGGUAUAAGGGUUGAAAGCUUCAAAGGAGGCAAAUGGGAAAUUGUGAAUGUUGACUAGAGAUAAGCGCGGGUGCGCACGAUUACACCAUGGAC
This 1127-nucleotide long non-coding RNA is filed under the name Olea europaea subsp. europaea. The record is from RNAcentral. Lineage: Eukaryota; Viridiplantae; Streptophyta; Magnoliopsida; Lamiales; Oleaceae.